Molecule: ribosomal RNA, 562 nt
Filed under: Colletotrichum sp. JK92
Lineage: Eukaryota; Fungi; Ascomycota; Sordariomycetes; Glomerellales; Glomerellaceae
Description: eukaryotic LSU rRNA
Rfam family: 5.8S ribosomal RNA (bases 234-387)
Source: RNAcentral
CGUAACAAGGUCUCCGUUGGUGAACCAGCGGAGGGAUCAUUACUGAGUUACCGCUCUAUAACCCUUUGUGAACAUACCUACAACUGUUGCUUCGGCGGGUAGGCCGUCCCCUGAAAAGGACGCCUCCCGGCCCGGACCGGACCCCCCGUGGGGCCGGACUCGGCGCCCGCCGGAGGAUAACCAAACGCUAUUUUAACGACGUUUCUUCUGAGUGGCAUAAGCAAAAUAAUCAAAACUUUUAACAACGGAUCUCUUGGUUCUGGCAUCGAUGAAGAACGCAGCGAAAUGCGAUAAGUAAUGUGAAUUGCAGAAUUCAGUGAAUCAUCGAAUCUUUGAACGCACAUUGCGCCCGCCAGCAUUCUGGCGGGCAUGCCUGUUCGAGCGUCAUUUCAACCCUCAAGCUCUGCUUGGUGUUGGGGCUCUACGGUCGACGUAGGCCCUCAAAGGUAGUGGCGGACCCUCCCGGAGCCUCCUUUGCGUAGUAACAUUUCGUCUCGCACUGGGAUCCGGAGGGACUCUUGCCGUAAAACCCCCCAAUUUUCAAGGUGACCUCGAUCAGUAG